Long non-coding RNA from Cryptotermes secundus, 222 nucleotides. RefSeq lists it as uncharacterized. The transcript has 2 exons. NCBI's taxonomy places the organism in Eukaryota, Metazoa, Arthropoda, Insecta, Blattodea, Kalotermitidae. The record is from RefSeq and is a predicted model, not a curated record.
CCUCUGUGUCCACGUGAAGGGAAACCAAUUACAGCAUUUCCAUAACCCAGUUGUCUCCACACCUAACAAGGUAUGCACCUGCCAAGUUUCAUCUACAUUGGUCAAUUACUGUAUCACUUAUAAUUAUUACUUCAGGGCCUCCUCCAAGUAAAUGACACUGCACCAGAAUAAUGUGCCAAUAUUCUGUAUUUUUCUAUAAAUAAAUAUGGGAAAGAUCCUCGA